RNAcentral lists this ribosomal RNA (557 nucleotides) under Escherichia coli. RNAcentral describes it as "partial 23S ribosomal RNA". It matches the Rfam family "Bacterial large subunit ribosomal RNA", at positions 2374 to 2925 of the family's 2925-position model. Lineage: Bacteria; Pseudomonadati; Pseudomonadota; Gammaproteobacteria; Enterobacterales; Enterobacteriaceae. The record is from RNAcentral. RNAcentral also lists the same sequence under 4 other names.
UGCGAGCGUGACGGCGCGAGCAGGUGCGAAAGCAGGUCAUAGUGAUCCGGUGGUUCUGAAUGGAAGGGCCAUCGCUCAACGGAUAAAAGGUACUCCGGGGAUAACAGGCUGAUACCGCCCAAGAGUUCAUAUCGACGGCGGUGUUUGGCACCUCGAUGUCGGCUCAUCACAUCCUGGGGCUGAAGUAGGUCCCAAGGGUAUGGCUGUUCGCCAUUUAAAGUGGUACGCGAGCUGGGUUUAGAACGUCGUGAGACAGUUCGGUCCCUAUCUGCCGUGGGCGCUGGAGAACUGAGGGGGGCUGCUCCUAGUACGAGAGGACCGGAGUGGACGCAUCACUGGUGUUCGGGUUGUCAUGCCAAUGGCACUGCCCGGUAGCUAAAUGCGGAAGAGAUAAGUGCUGAAAGCAUCUAAGCACGAAACUUGCCCCGAGAUGAGUUCUCCCUGAGACUUAGAGUCUCCUGAAGGAACGUUGAAGACGACGACGUUGAUAGGCCGGGUGUGUAAGCGCAGCGAUGCGUUGAGCUAACCGGUACUAAUGAACCGUGAGGCUUAACCUU